RNAcentral lists this ribosomal RNA (1343 nucleotides) under uncultured bacterium. RNAcentral's name for it is "16S ribosomal RNA". It matches the Rfam family "Bacterial small subunit ribosomal RNA", at positions 28 to 1378 of the family's 1533-position model. The record is from RNAcentral.
GACGAACGCUGGCGGCGUGCUUAACACAUGCAAGUCGAACGGAAAGGCCCUGCUUUUGUGGGGUGCUCGAGUGGCGAACGGGUGAGUAACACGUGAGUAACCUGCCCUUGACUUUGGGAUAUCUUCAGGAAACUGGGGCUAAUACCGGAUAGGAGCUCCUGCUGCAUGGUGGGGGUUGGAAAGUUUCGGCGGUUGGGGAUGGACUCGCGGCUUAUCAGCUUGUUGGUGGGGUAGUGGCUUACCAAGGCUUUGACGGGUAGCCGGCCUGAGAGGGUGACCGGCCACAUUGGGACUGAGAUACGGCCCAGACUCCUACGGGAGGCAGCAGUGGGGAAUAUUGCACAAUGGGCGGAAGCCUGAUGCAGCAACGCCGCGUGCGGGAUGACGGCCUUCGGGUUGUAAACCGCUUUCGCCUGUGACGAAGCGUGAGUGACGGUAAUGGGUAAAGAAGCACCGGCUAACUACGUGCCAGCAGCCGCGGUGAUACGUAGGGUGCGAGCGUUGUCCGGAUUUAUUGGGCGUAAAGGGCUCGUAGGUGGUUGAUCGCGUCGGAAGUGUAAUCUUGGGGCUUAACCCUGAGCGUGCUUUCGAUACGGGUUGACUUGAGGAAGGUAGGGGAGAAUGGAAUUCCUGGUGGAGCGGUGGAAUGCGCAGAUAUCAGGAGGAACACCAGUGGCGAAGGCGGUUCCCUGGGCCUUUCCUGACGCUGAGGAGCGAAAGCGUGGGGAGCGAACAGGCUUAGAUACCCUGGUAGUCCACGCUGUAAACGGUGGGUACUAGGUGUGGGGUCCAUUCCACGGGUUCCGUGCCGUAGCUAACGCUUUAAGUACCCCGCCUGGGGAGUACGGCCGCAAGGCUAAAACUCAAAGGAAUUGACGGGGCCCCGCACAAGCGGCGGAGCAUGCGGAUUAAUUCGAUGCAACGCGUAGAACCUUACCUGGGUUUGACAUGGAUCGGGAGUGCUCAGAGAUGGGUGUGCCUCUUUUGGGGUCGGUUCACAGGUGGUGCAUGGCUGUCGUCAGCUCGUGUCGUGAGAUGUUGGGUUAAGUCCCGCAACGAGCGCAACCCUUGUUCACUGUUGCCAGCACGUUAUGGUGGGGACUCAGUGGAGACCGCCGGGGUCAACUCGGAGGAAGGUGGGGAUGACGUCAAGUCAUCAUGCCCCUUAUGUCCAGGGCUUCACGCAUGCUACAAUGGCUGGUACAGAGAGUGGCGAGCCUGUGAGGGUGAGCGAAUCUCGGAAAGCCGGUCUCAGUUCGGAUUGGGGUCUGCAACUCGACCUCAUGAAGUCGGAGUCGCUAGUAAUCGCAGAUCAGCAACGCUGCGGUGAAUACGUUCCCGGG